Molecule: ribosomal RNA, 446 nt
Filed under: uncultured bacterium
Lineage: Bacteria
Description: bacterial SSU rRNA
Rfam family: Bacterial small subunit ribosomal RNA
Source: RNAcentral
GAUGAACGUUGGCGGCAGGUUUGACACAUGCAAGUCGAACGGUAGAGGGGAGCUUGCUCCCCUUGAGAGUGGCGAACGGCUGAGUAACACGUAGGAACGUACCCCACAGACAGGGACAACAGACCGAAAGGCCUGCUAAUACCUGAUAUAUCCUUCGGGAGGAAAUGGUCCGCCGCUGUGGGAGCGGCCUGCGGCGUAUUAGGUAGUAGGUGAGGUAAUGGCUCACCUAGCCAGAGAUGCGUAGCUGGUCUGAGAGGAUGAUCAGCCAGACUGGGACUGAGACACGGCCCAGACUCCUACGGGAGGCAGCAGUUCAGAAUCUUGCACAAUGGGCGAAAGCCUGAUGCAGCCAUGCCGCGUGAGCGAAGAAGGCCCUCGGGUCGUAAAGCUCUGUCAGAGGGGAAGAUAAUGACGGUACCCUCAAAGGAGCAACGGCUAAUUACGUG